This 669-nucleotide long non-coding RNA is filed under the name Arabidopsis thaliana (thale cress). Its description in RNAcentral is "long non-coding RNA (ATHA_LNC000319)". The record is from RNAcentral. Lineage: Eukaryota; Viridiplantae; Streptophyta; Magnoliopsida; Brassicales; Brassicaceae.
UCCGACAAACUAAUUAAAAAAAGACUGAUUACAUUGUUUCAACUAAAUUGUUUACUCUCAAAAAGAUAUUUUCUUUUAAAGAGGAAAAACAAAGUUCCUUCUUUUAGGUAACUUAAUAAACUAUUAUAACCAAACGUUGAGGAUUCAACGAUUGAAACCGUUCACACGUCUCGUCCUUUGCGAGUGACUUUCUGCUAAAGUAAACCACAAGCUGUCCACAUGACUACGACAGGCUGUGUCCAUGGCGGAAAUAAAGAAGCUUUCUUUGUUGCGACUUAACCUUCGUAAGCAAAGUUGGAAUCUUUUUCCCACCCAAAGUCUUCCUAGACCAUGAUUAACCGGUUCACAAUUGAAUUGGAACCGGUUUUUGGAUAUUGACUAAUCGGUUUUCUAUGCCGUCACCAGUAAUCACCGCAAGAGCAGACUCCAUUCUUGAAAUGAUGAAACCGGUUUGAAUCCCUCACAAUGAUCUCUCUCUCAGUGAUUUUCGAUAUGAACUUGGUUACGCUAUGGCAAUCGCCGCAUACCCUUAGAUUCUUAAAAAUCCGAAUCGUUGUCUUUGCAGGAGUGGCGAUAAGUGCAAAUGCAAUAGCUAAUCUUUCACUAUGACUCAUGAGGAUAUGCUCUUUCUCGUCGUCUUCAACAUCCUGCAACACAAAUCUAUGGUCC